GAGGGCUACUACAGUGACGGCCUGUAGUUUUCUCUGAAACACCUGCUGUUUCUAUUUCUCCCCUCUGUAGGAAUUGUCUUCCUCUAACUCACAAUAGGAAAUAAUAGAGGCCAGUGUCAUUUGGCUUGCUGGUUAAAAGAAGACAACGGGCCCUGGAAUCUGUGAAAGUGGCCGGGAAUGAAGCUGGUCAAAUGUACUGAAAGGGUUCGGUACCUGUUGCUUCUGGAAGAGGAGGGGCUGAGGUCCCCUUCCUGUGCACUCCCUUGGGAGAGGCCUGGUCGCUGCUCUGCCACGGAGGACAGGUGCAAAGGC
Pipistrellus kuhlii (Kuhl's pipistrelle) is the source of this 312-nucleotide long non-coding RNA. RefSeq lists it as uncharacterized. The transcript is spliced from 2 exons. NCBI's taxonomy places the organism in Eukaryota, Metazoa, Chordata, Mammalia, Chiroptera, Vespertilionidae. The record is from RefSeq and is a predicted model, not a curated record.